Pleuronectes platessa (European plaice) is the source of this 2095-nucleotide long non-coding RNA. RefSeq lists it as uncharacterized. NCBI's taxonomy places the organism in Eukaryota, Metazoa, Chordata, Actinopteri, Pleuronectiformes, Pleuronectidae. The record is from RefSeq and is a predicted model, not a curated record. The transcript has 2 exons.
AUAUAGAAGAAGACCCCCUUCGUCAACAGAAAAUCUGAAAUGACUUAUGGAAUAAUUACACUUUACAGAACCAUUCCUCUGAUAAUAAAAAGCACAAAUAAAGAGCUUCUACAUUUUGGGUUCAACAACCCCGACAAAACACUGACAGACUAAACAGAUUCUUUUCAAAAGGAUAUUUGAUGCAAGCUGCAGUACCUUCUGCAACCACCAGCAACAGAUUAGUUCUUGGUUUCACUUCUUAGGAAACAGGAAGGAUUUAUAACGGCUCACACACAGACAGACAGCAAUUCCCUAUCAGCAGCACACUAACAAAGGGUGAUGAGGAUGUCUGGAAGAGUCAUGAGUUGCUUUGCAGCUCUGUUCCUUGCACUGGCCUCUGUGUCAGCUGUAGAAAGACUCAAUUCAAUUAAUGAUUUGAAGAAAAUCAACUUUGGUCAAUCUGUGCCCAAACACACUCUUCUACUUCUCCACUGGUUUGCCAACGUAGUUGAAAUGGACAGCAACAACAUCAUAAGGUUGACCUUUGACCCAAACAAUGAAGAUUUUGGAUCGCAUCAUUAUGGCAACUAUGAGCAGGUGCUGGACCCACUGCCUCGGGGUUACAAGUACUACACUGUUGGAAAUCUUCUUCCAGACAAACAUGAACAACUUCCAGGUUAUGUCACUCAUCCCCGGGCAGAGUAUGUAGGAAGGAACCGGGACCGGAUUGUGUUCAGUGUAAGAAUGCAGAACAGAGGACGGCAACUGAUAGAUCGAGUGUACAUCACACAGCAUUAUGGGCACCAUAGAAAUACGACAUAUAAUCCUGAACAUACCUAUGAGAUCACGACUAACCUCCUGAGACAGAUCCGAGAGUUUUCUGUGGGAGGAUACUCACUGUCCAUUCUCAGAAAUCGCUAUGGAAGUAAUGCUAGUGAUUCCCAGUUAUCAGAAAUCAGAAACAUAUGGGGGAACCUUGCUUGUCUUGGACUGCUGUUGUUUAUUGUGAUCCAGGAAAGGUACAACUACAACCAACAAUGGUACCGCCUUCAGAGUGGGUCAACAGGAGGAAACAAGGUUGUGACACAACCUUACAUUCCUCAUAACAACUUCCAAGGCCCCAGGUCAAAUUGGGAAACAUGCUUUCUCAUUUUAGUAGUUAUAUGUAUAUUUGUCUUUGCCAUUCUUAGUUCCCUCUUGAACUUCAGUGGAAGGGGAAGAUAAAAAAAUUUAAAAAAAAGACGAAUCAUACAAUACGCGAUAUUACUUUUAAGAUGAUUUGGAAUCAAGUAGUUAAGACUGAUCAAUGGACCUGGAUAAGGGCUAAUUCUAAAAGAUGGUGUAUGUUUUGUUUUCAUGUUUAUUUAAAUGUGUGCUACAUUAUUUUCUUAACACUGUUCUGGUAAAUAUUGAGAGAGGUUGUUUUCAUGGACCAAAUACUGAAAAAUCACAGUCUCCAGUGUGUCACUUCAAGUCAGCACUAGUUUAUGCUAAAGUACCAACAUAAAAACGAUCUGAUCAGUACAUGAUCUUUACAAAGUGUCGACAUCAGUUAAAGACAGUGGUGUAAUGUUAAUUCAGAUUAAGACUUGCAUAUUAAAAUUUAAUUUGUAAGAAUCUUACUUGCCUGGGAAAAUUACAUAACAAAAGAUGAAGGACAUGUUUUACAUUUAGACCAAGCAGUGUGGUCCAAGGAGUACUACUUACAAAAAAAUAAACCACACAGUUAAUUACAGCACAAACUCUUCUUUAAAAUAACUAUUUUUGUACACAUUAACGCAUUAUACUGGUUUUAACACUUCAGGCUUAAUUCAUAUUCAAUGUCAUGCUCCAGCACCUCUAAUCCAAUAGUGGUGACUCACUGUUCUUUCAUAUGUGUUUCCUAGAGAUGAAGAGAAAGCAAAUAGCUCUGAUGCAUAGAUGAAACCAACAAGUGAAAGGAUCUAUGGCGUGCUAAGCAUAGCUCACAUUGAUAAUGUAUUAGCAUAACAAACAAAAAAAAGAGAUGUAUAUUUUACAUAUGGUUUUGUAUUCUUGCUACAAUAUUGUAAAUGGGGUGUUGAUUGAAUACUCGCUGCCAUUUGUUUGGUGUGUAAAUAAAAGGUUUAAAAGACAA